CUUGGUCAUUUAGAGGAAGUAAAAGUCGUAACAAGGUCUCCGUUGGUGAACCAGCGGAGGGAUCAUUACCGAGUUUACAACUCCCAAACCCCUGUGAACAUACCUUUAUGUUGCCUCGGCGGAUCAGCCCGCGCCCCGUAAAACGGGACGGCCCGCCGCAGGAACCACAAAACUCUGAUUUUAGUGUAACUUCUGAGUCUAAAAAACAAAUAAAUCAAAACUUUCAACAACGGAUCUCCUGGUUCUGGCAUCGAUGAAGAACGCAGCAAAAUGCGAUAAGUAAUGUGAAUUGCAGAAUUCAGUGAAUCAUCGAAUCUUUGAACGCACAUUGCGCCCGCCAGUAUUCUGGCGGGCAUGCCUGUUCGAGCGUCAUUUCAACCCUCAAGCCCCCGGGUUUGGUGUUGGGGAUCCGGCUGUACUCCAGCCCGGCCCCGAAAUCUAGUGGCGGUCUCGCUGCAGCCUCCAUUGCGUAGUAGCUAACACCUCGCAACUGGAACGCGGCGCGGCCAAGCCGUUAAACCCCCAACUUCUGAAUGUUGACCUCGGAUCAGGUAGGAAUACCCGCUUAACUUAAGCAUAUCAAUAAGCGGAGGA
RNAcentral lists this unclassified non-coding RNA (594 nucleotides) under uncultured fungus. RNAcentral describes it as "sequence contains ITS1, 5.8S rRNA gene and ITS2". The stretch from base 219 to 372 matches the Rfam family "5.8S ribosomal RNA". Lineage: Eukaryota; Fungi. The record is from RNAcentral.